UUCUGAGCAUGCCUUCUCCAACUGCAG
This 27-nucleotide non-coding RNA is filed under the name Cricetulus griseus (Chinese hamster). The record is from RNAcentral. Lineage: Eukaryota; Metazoa; Chordata; Mammalia; Rodentia; Cricetidae.